RNAcentral lists this transfer RNA (77 nucleotides) under Coprothermobacter proteolyticus DSM 5265. Its description in RNAcentral is "tRNA-Gln". It matches the Rfam family "tRNA". From Rfam's summary of the family: Transfer RNA (tRNA) molecules are approximately 80 nucleotides in length. The record is from RNAcentral. Lineage: Bacteria; Pseudomonadati; Coprothermobacterota; Coprothermobacteria; Coprothermobacterales; Coprothermobacteraceae.
UUGGGGGAUCGUCUAACGGGCAGGACACGGGACUCUGGAUCCUGUAGUGGUGGUUCGAAUCCACCUCCCCCAGCCAG